UUUCACAGGCGUUCAAGGGUCGUGCUCGCAAAGUUAGCUUCAUAACAAGACGACCAUACUUUUGCACAGAGGUGCUUUAUUUGGUAACUUUCUUCACAAGUCGGUUAUUCUGAAAAUAUUUGCCUGUUUGGAUAAACGUUGCAUAAGGCCAUGAACUAUACACGGGUAUUUGUUGUGACCUUGGUAGUCAUAGCGACGUGCAGCCAGGUGUUUGCACCUCAUCCCCAGCGUAACAAUAAUGGAGCAAACAUUCUCGACAUUGUCAAAGAGAAAUGCAAACAACUCUGUACACAUGCUGGAACCUGUCCGCCCGAAUGUGCGGAGGAGUUUCUGGACCCUUGGUCAAGGUGAAGAGAAAACUGUCCGAUGAGAUUGACCAGUAGAUGCAAGCCAACAGAGAAAUAAGUUGACUAAUUUCGGUUAAUUCUUCAGUGUCGUACGAUAACAUUGUUGCAUGGUCUAAUAAGAAACUACAAUUAUUUGAACACACAAUACGGUCAUGAUUAUCUACUGGUUAUUUUUUUCGCCUGCGAUGGCAUAGCUCUUCAUUAACCCAUUUAUGCCUAGUGGACUCUUCCAUCCUUUAAAAUUGGAUCAAUUUAUUUCCAAAAUUAGGGAUGUCUAGUAUAUUUAUUUCUAUAUUUAGAAAAUUUCUUAAUGAAAUUCCUUUAAGCAAACAGCAAAGACCCUGAUGAGACGCCACCUCAUGCGGCGUCUCAUCUGGGUCUACGCUGUUUGCCAAGGCCUUUUUCUAGACGCUAGGCAUACAUGGGUUAAAUAGUUAUCCUUUCUCUUAGUUUUAGAGUAUUAUCUCAUUCACAUUCGCAAUUUCUAUGUAUUUAUAUAAGAAAGAUAUAUGAGUAAAUGUAAAGUAAAACUUGAAUUAAGGUAUAAAAAGAAUGCCUUUUUGUUAUAUUACACAACACGUAAAAUUAUGUUGGAAAUACAAUACA
Molecule: long non-coding RNA, 953 nt
Organism: Dreissena polymorpha
Lineage: Eukaryota; Metazoa; Mollusca; Bivalvia; Myida; Dreissenidae
Exons: 3
Source: RefSeq, a predicted model, not a curated record